Molecule: long non-coding RNA, 1978 nt
Organism: Rosa rugosa (rugosa rose)
Lineage: Eukaryota; Viridiplantae; Streptophyta; Magnoliopsida; Rosales; Rosaceae
Exons: 5
Source: RefSeq, a predicted model, not a curated record
AUGUUGGGGUAAAUUCCAAAUAUAUUAUCCGGACUCCGGAGUAACACGGACGUUGCGAAUUAGUAGCUGACACUCUCUCAACUUCUCAAUUUAGCGUUGAAUCCCUCUCAACCCUGACACAUUCUGUCUCAUCCAAGAGAGGUUUGAUAUGAGCUAGUUUGUAGUCAUGGUCACCGAAGAGCCUAAAGACCCGUUGAGACGGGUGAACUGGAAAGCUGUUGGUAUUGAUAUGCAGAAGAGCCCCUGUGGUAAAUCAGGCAUAAUGAAACGGCUUCCCAGAAAGAUUAGUCUGAAUCCAGAUUGCUAUUUUCUUCCUCCAAAGUUACUACCCUACAACAUUGCAUCCUUAGAAGCAUGUAUUGCUGUUGGAUAUAUGUAAUCAAGAAAAUUAGAGUAUGGAGGCAUAAUAUGGAUUUUGACAAAUAACGCUUGGAGGAGUUUGUAAAGAUGGCAUUAUUAAUAUCCCCUCAUCUCUGGCCCCUUUUCUCUAGCAGAAGUUUCUUCAUGAGAGAUUUCUGUUCAUUCUCCAUUCUCCCCUUAAGUUGACAUGGAGGAUGCCUAAUUUCCUCAAUCCAACCCUCAAAAUGUUUCUUUGUGCAACCAUCAAGCAGUAUCUUAUGCAAGCAGUACGCCUGGGCUUUGGCCCUCUAUUCAACCAAAGAAAAUGUGAAAAGUAUAUCUAGCACAUUUUGGCUUAAACUAACGAGAAGGUAUCUUGUUCUUUGAGUAGAAAAUGUGUACCAUCUGAAAUUUAGAGGAAAAACCUUACAAUUUGCUGGAGUGGUCAGGUGACUGGAAAUUAUUGCUUAUGGUUAAUCACUUGAACUCGGUUACUGAGGGAAAAAGUGGUUUAAUUAUGAUUUUUUAUGUAAUGAAAUCAUAGUCAUAAAGGCCAAUUUACAGUAUUAGUCUUAUAAGGUGGCCUUCUAAAAUCUAAACACAUCUGGAUCAGAUGUAAGACUCACAUGGAUUGAGGGGAAGCACACACUUGGAAGGGUGUUCAGCAUGCAUGUAUACCAGGUAAUGCUCCGGUUCAUCUGUAGAAGAUUGUUCACAACAUAUUACCUGCGAUUGAUCGUCUUUUAUCAAGGCAUGUCCAGAUAGAAGAUGCUACUUGCGUGUUUUGUGCUAGUGCAAUGAAUCAACAGACCACUACAGUUGACGAUGUCCUUUCACGACAACAGUCCUGGAAUCCGAUGAAGAGUUGUGUACCAUUUGGUUUACACCAACACUGAUUGACUUAAUCCUUCAUGAGUGGUUAUGUCAUUGCAAAGUUAUGCAUCUUCCCAAGCUUGGAAUACUCUUUUUUGCUCUUUACAGAGUGUUUGGAAGGAGAGAAACAAUAGAGUAUGGGAAAUUUCAUCUCUGAGAGCUGGUGAUGCUGUGUUUACGGUAAAUGCAAGACUCGCAGAGUAUCAAUUUUAUCAUAAGAAGCAAUCUGGUAAUAGAAGAAGCACGGUCAAGUGAAAACCACCACCUGCAGGGUGGUUGAAAAUCAACAUUAAUGGCGCGUUUGAUCUAGCAACUCAUACGGGGGGAAUUGGGUUCAUUGUUCUUGACUGUGAUGGAUCUUAUGUAGAAGGGAGAUCUUAACCGGUGAGUAAUGUCCAUUUUGCUGAACAUACAUAAACUUUAGCAGGCAAGGCAGCUCUCGAGUAUGCACAUGAAUACAACUUCAGUCCAGUUGGCACUGAAACAGACUAUGCUUCUUGCCAAUGCGUCGAAGCAAUCUGUCAUUCCCCAUACAUUGACAAUUGGAUGUGUGUAUGACGAGAAUGUAUUCGAACUCACCAUGGUCCUAGGUUCUCUUUUCUCUCAUCUGUAUCGUGAAGCCAAUGUUGUGGCUAGUAAGCAAGCUUUGGUUUGGGAGACUACUCCCUUUCAUUUGUUUCUGAUGUAAAUGUAAUCCAAUGCAAUAUCGUUUGAAGCCUAACAUUUUCCUUAAACAAAAUACACUGGUGCAUUCUAUUUGUAUUUU